UACGUAGGGGGCAAGCGUUGUCCGGCUUUAUUGGGCGUAAAGAGCGUGUAGGCGGCCUGAAAGGUCAGCUGUGAAAACUCGAGGCUCAACCUCGAGACGUCGGUUGAAACCAUCUGGCUAGAGUCCGGAAGAGGAGUGUGGAAUUCCCGGUGUAGCGGUGAAAUGCGCAGAUAUCGGGAAGAACACCCGUGGCGAAGGCGGCACUCUGGGACGGUACUGACGCUGAGACGCGAAAGCGUGGGGAGCGAACAGG
Molecule: ribosomal RNA, 253 nt
Filed under: uncultured bacterium
Lineage: Bacteria
Description: partial 16S ribosomal RNA
Rfam family: Bacterial small subunit ribosomal RNA
Source: RNAcentral